UCCCUGGUGGCUCAGACGGUAAAGUGUGUGCCUGCAAGGCAGGAGACCCAGGUUCAAUCCCUGGGUUGGGAA
Molecule: transfer RNA, 72 nt
Filed under: Bos taurus (domestic cattle)
Lineage: Eukaryota; Metazoa; Chordata; Mammalia; Artiodactyla; Bovidae
Also listed under: 1 other name
Rfam family: tRNA
About the family: Transfer RNA (tRNA) molecules are approximately 80 nucleotides in length. Their secondary structure includes four short double-helical elements and three loops (D, anti-codon, and T loops).
Source: Rfam by way of RNAcentral